GAUUAACGCUGGCGGCGUGCCUAACACAUGCAAGUCGAGCGGCAGCGAGUUUUACACUGAAUUCUGGAAGCUUCUAGUUGAAAGAGAAGAUUUAUUCAAGAAUUUUGUGUAAAAUGUCGGCGAGCGGCGGACGGCUGAGUAACGCGUGGGAACGUACCCCAAAGUGAGGGAUAACGCAUCGAAAGGUGUGCUAAUACCGCAUAUGGUCUUCGGAUUAAAGCCUUCGGGCGCUUUGGGAACGGCCUGCGUAAGAUUAGAUAGUUGGUGGGGUAAUGGCCUACCAAGUCGAAGAUCUUUAACUGGUUUGAGAGGAUGAUCAGUCAGACUGGAACUGAGACACGGUCCAGACUCCUACGGGAGGCAGCAGUGAGGAAUCUUCCACAAUGGGCGAAAGCCUGAUGGAGCAACGCCGCGUGCAGGAUGAAGGCCUUCGGGUUGUAAACUGCUUUUAUAAGUGAGGAUUAUGACAGUAACUUAUGAAUAAGGAUCGGCUAACUACGUG
This 502-nucleotide ribosomal RNA is filed under the name uncultured bacterium. RNAcentral describes it as "partial 16S ribosomal RNA". It matches the Rfam family "Bacterial small subunit ribosomal RNA", at positions 28 to 507 of the family's 1533-position model. The record is from RNAcentral.